GUAAAAACAAUGACAGAAACUAGUAGCAGCUGAUCCCUUUUUUAAGAGAGCCGGUGGGUGGUGUGAACCGGUAAAAGGAUGUUGUGAAUCCAUUCUGGAGUGGAAAGCCGAACCUGUUUCAGUAAGCUUUCCCGGUCAGGCGCCGUUAAGUUAUGAGCGGAAAAUGAGUCUAUCAUUUUCAACCAGGGUGGUAACGCGGGCAUUAACUCUCGUCCCUUUU
Molecule: non-coding RNA, 220 nt
Filed under: Jeotgalibacillus soli
Lineage: Bacteria; Bacillati; Bacillota; Bacilli; Caryophanales; Caryophanaceae
Description: T-box sequence
Rfam family: T-box leader
About the family: Uncharged tRNA acts as the effector for transcription antitermination of genes in the T-box leader family. T-boxes are found upstream of many aminoacyl-tRNA synthetase genes and some amino acid biosynthetic genes usually in Gram-positive bacteria.
Source: RNAcentral